GUCAGAAUCAGUACAUACACGCCUGUAAAUGGCCACAGUUGAAAAUAAAAAUACUUUCGAGUUUAUAGAAAGAGAAGAGCAACUAAAAUUCUUUAAACAUGUUCUUUUUAGCCUCAAUAGUUCAGAUAUGCCAACUCUUGAUCCAUUUCAUUAUUCUGCACCAAUUGAACCUCACCCUAUAUUCCACUUAAUUCAUCCUAUGAUAGAGCCAAAUGCAAUUAUUGAUU
Molecule: unclassified non-coding RNA, 227 nt
Filed under: Hevea brasiliensis (rubber tree)
Lineage: Eukaryota; Viridiplantae; Streptophyta; Magnoliopsida; Malpighiales; Euphorbiaceae
Source: RNAcentral